AGCAGCCGCGGUAAUUCCAGCUCCAAUAGCGUAUAUUAAAGUUGUUGUGGUUAAAAAGCUCGUAGUUGAACCUUGGGCCUGGCUGGCCGGUCCGCCUCACCGCGUGUACUGGUCCGGCCGGGCCUUUCCCUCUGUGGAACCCCAUGCCCUUCACUGGGUGUGGCGGGGAAACAGGACUUUUACUUUGAAAAAAUUAGAGUGCUCCAGGCAGGCCUAUGCUCGAAUACAUUAGCAUGGAAUAAUAGAAUAGGACGUGUGGUUCUAUUUUGUUGGUUUCUAGGACCGCCGUAAUGAUUAAUAGGGAUAGUCGGGGGCAUCAGUAUUCAAUUGUCAGAGGUGAAAUUCUUGGAUUUAUUGAAGACUAACUACUGCGAAAGCAUUUGCCAAGGAUGUUUUCAUUAAUCAGGAGCGAAAGUUAGGGGAUCGAAGACGAUCAGAUACCGUCGUAGUCUUAACCAUAAACUAUGCCGACUAGGGAUCGGGACGAUGUUAUUAUUUG
This 499-nucleotide ribosomal RNA is filed under the name uncultured Paraglomus. RNAcentral describes it as "SSU rRNA". It matches the Rfam family "Eukaryotic small subunit ribosomal RNA", at positions 569 to 1073 of the family's 1831-position model. Lineage: Eukaryota; Fungi; Glomeromycota; Glomeromycetes; Paraglomerales; Paraglomeraceae. The record is from RNAcentral.